This 708-nucleotide ribosomal RNA is filed under the name uncultured bacterium. Its description in RNAcentral is "bacterial SSU rRNA". It matches the Rfam family "Bacterial small subunit ribosomal RNA", at positions 61 to 748 of the family's 1533-position model. The record is from RNAcentral.
GUCGAACGCGAAGACCCCGCAAGGGGUUGUUAGCGUGGCAAACGGGUGAGUAACGCGUGGGCGACCUACCUCAGAGUGGGGGAUAACCUUCCGAAAGGGAGGCUAAUACCGCAUGACAUCCCAUGUUUGGAUACAUGGACAUCAAAGCCGGGGAUCGUAAGACCUGGCGCUUGGAGAGGGGCCCGCGUCCGAUUAGCUAGUUGGUGGGGUAACGGCUCACCAAGGCUCCGAUCGGUAUCCGGCCUGAGAGGGCGGACGGACACACUGGAACUGAGACACGGUCCAGACUCCUACGGGAGGCAGCAGUGGGGAAUUGUUCGCAAUGGGCGAAAGCCUGACGACGCAACGCCGCGUGGAGGAUGAAGACUUUCGGGUCGUAAACUCCUUUCAACCGAGAUGAAUUCCCUCCGACCUAACACGUCGGAGGGGUGACAGUAUCGAGGGAAGAAGCCCCGGCUAACUCUGUGCCAGCAGCCGCGGUAAUACAGGGGGGGCAAGCGUUGUUCGGAAUUACUGGGCGUAAAGGGUUCGUAGGUGGCCAACUAAGUCAUACGUGAAAUCCCUCAGCUUAACUGGGGAACUGCGCCUGAUACUGGUUGGCUUGAGUGCAGGAGAGGAACGCGGAAUUCCAGGUGUAGCGGUGAAAUGCGUAGAUAUCUGGAGGAACACCGGUGGCGAAGGCGGCGUUCUGGACUGCAACUGACACUG